GAUGAACGCUAGCGAUAGGCUUAACACAUGCAAGUCGAGGGGCAGCACAAGGUAGCUUGCUAUCUGGGUGGCGACCGGCGCACGGGUGCGUAACGCGUAUGCAACUUGCCCUAUACAGGAGGAUAACCCGUCGAAAGACGGACUAAUACUGCGUAUGCUCACAACUUGGCAUCAAGUGGUGAGGAAAGAAAUUCGGUAUAGGAUAGGCAUGCGUCCCAUUAGCUUGUUGGUGAGGUAACGGCUCACCAAGGCAACGAUGGGUAGGGGAACUGAGAGGUUUAUCCCCCACACUGGUACUGAGACACGGACCAGACUCCUACGGGAGGCAGCAGUGAGGAAUAUUGGCCAAUGGGCGCGAGCCUGAACCAGCCAAGUCGCGUGAAGGAUGACUGUCUUAUGGAUUGUAAACUUCUUUUAAACGGGAAUAACAAGAGUAACGUGUGACUCCCUGCAUGUACCGUAUGAAUAAGCAUCGGCUAACUCCGUG
RNAcentral lists this ribosomal RNA (487 nucleotides) under uncultured bacterium. RNAcentral's name for it is "partial 16S ribosomal RNA". It matches the Rfam family "Bacterial small subunit ribosomal RNA", at positions 28 to 507 of the family's 1533-position model. The record is from RNAcentral.